UUUGGUGGCUCGACGCUGGGGUCACACCUCUUCCCAUUUCGAACAGAGAAGUUAAGCCCAGUAGUGGCGAUGAUAGUCCCUCGGGGCGAAAGUAGCUAGCCGCCAGAA
Molecule: ribosomal RNA, 108 nt
Filed under: Candidatus Nomurabacteria bacterium RIFCSPLOWO2_12_FULL_46_14
Lineage: Bacteria; Candidatus Nomuraibacteriota
Source: RNAcentral